Long non-coding RNA from Homo sapiens (human), 387 nucleotides. RefSeq lists it as uncharacterized. The transcript has 3 exons. The record is from RefSeq and is a predicted model, not a curated record. NCBI's taxonomy places the organism in Eukaryota, Metazoa, Chordata, Mammalia, Primates, Hominidae.
UGCAGACAGCCUAUUGUGAGACUUUACCUCGUGACUAAGUGUUAAGCCAAACAGAUUCUAUGGCUUCCACACAAAUGAGUAAGUGAUGAAGUUUAUGUACAUGAACAUUGCCGGUGCUGAUGAUCUUCCAAGAAUCUAAGGCAUUUAAGGAAUGCUAAUGUCAUUUGGGAACUGCAAAUCGAAACCAUAAAUAUAUACCAAUUUACCUCCACUAUGAUGGCUAGAAUGAAAAGGAUAGAUGGUAACAAGUGUUGACAAGGAUGGCAGAAAGUAAAACCCUCAUGCGCUGAUGGUGAAAACGUAAAGUUGUGCAGCCAGUCCAGAAAAAAUUCUGUAAGUUCCUCAAAAAAUUUAACAUAGAGUUAUGUUAUGACCAAGAAAUGAAAA